Molecule: ribosomal RNA, 460 nt
Filed under: uncultured bacterium
Lineage: Bacteria
Description: partial 16S ribosomal RNA
Rfam family: Bacterial small subunit ribosomal RNA
Source: RNAcentral
CCUACGGGGGGCAGCAGUGAGGAAUAUUGGUCAAUGGACGAGAGUCUGAACCAGCCAAGUAGCGUGAAGGAUGACUGCCCUAUGGGUUGUAAACUUCUUUUAUAAAGGAAUAAAACGAGGCACGUGUGCCCUUUUGCAUGUACUUUAUGAAUAAGGAUCGGCUAACUCCGUGCCAGCAGCCGCGGUAAUACGGAGGAUCCGAGCGUUAUCCGGAUUUAUUGGGUUUAAAGGGAGCGUAGAUGGGUUGUUAAGUCAGUUGUGAAAGUUUGCGGCUCAACCGUAAAAUUGCAAUUGAUACUGGCAGUCUUGAGUACAGUUGAGGUAAGCGGAAUGCGUGGUGUAGCGGUGAAAUGCUUAGAUAUCACGAAGAACCCCGAUUGCGAAGGCAGCUUACUAAACUGUGACUGACAUUGAUGCUCGAAAGUGUGGGUAUCAAACAGGAUUAGAUACCCCGGUAGUC